AGUUAAGUGAAUUUGCAAACAAUGGAAUAUAAAGCUAACAGACUGUAAAACUAACUAAAAAGUUAAGUGACUCUACAAACCAUGGAAUAUAAAGCUAACAGACUG
Long non-coding RNA from Thalassophryne amazonica, 105 nucleotides. RefSeq lists it as uncharacterized. NCBI's taxonomy places the organism in Eukaryota, Metazoa, Chordata, Actinopteri, Batrachoidiformes, Batrachoididae. The record is from RefSeq and is a predicted model, not a curated record. The transcript is spliced from 2 exons.